This 71-nucleotide transfer RNA is filed under the name Camelus bactrianus (Bactrian camel). It matches the Rfam family "tRNA". Rfam says of the family: Transfer RNA (tRNA) molecules are approximately 80 nucleotides in length. Their secondary structure includes four short double-helical elements and three loops (D, anti-codon, and T loops). Further hydrogen bonds mediate the characteristic L-shaped molecular structure. tRNAs have two regions of fundamental functional importance: the anti-codon, which is responsible for specific mRNA codon recognition, and the 3' end, to which the tRNAs corresponding amino acid is attached (by aminoacyl-tRNA synthetases). tRNAs cope with the degeneracy of the genetic code in two manners: having more than one tRNA (with a specific anti-codon) for a particular amino acid; and 'wobble' base-pairing, i.e. permitting non-standard base-pairing at the 3rd anti-codon position. The record is from Rfam by way of RNAcentral. Lineage: Eukaryota; Metazoa; Chordata; Mammalia; Artiodactyla; Camelidae. RNAcentral also lists the same sequence under 2 other names.
GAGGGCAUAACUCAGUGUAGAGUGUAAGCCUAGCAUGCACGAGUUCCUGGGUUCAAUUCCCAGUACCUCCA